UGUUCUAUAAAGAGCCUGUGCCCCAAGCAAGCAAGAGAGACUCCUUCUGCUCCUUCCCAGGAACUGCUUCAUACAGGCCGAAAAUAUGAGUUGAGUGGGGUAUGGUGAGAAUCUCUACCUCUGCAUCCUUCAAAUCCUUGAUAAUGGCACAAAUCUCUACAAUAUUUCUUCCAGGAAACAAAUGCUUCCGGCAGGUGUGGGUGUCGCCAGACAAAAUUGAACU
Long non-coding RNA from Talpa occidentalis (Iberian mole), 223 nucleotides. RefSeq lists it as uncharacterized. The transcript has 3 exons. NCBI's taxonomy places the organism in Eukaryota, Metazoa, Chordata, Mammalia, Eulipotyphla, Talpidae. The record is from RefSeq and is a predicted model, not a curated record.